Molecule: ribosomal RNA, 273 nt
Filed under: uncultured Clostridia bacterium
Lineage: Bacteria; Bacillati; Bacillota; Clostridia
Description: partial 16S ribosomal RNA
Rfam family: Bacterial small subunit ribosomal RNA
Source: RNAcentral
UUGAGUACUUGUACGAGACUUAGCUUAGCGGCGGACGGGUGAGUAACGCGUGAGCGACCUGGCCUAUACAGGGGGAUAACAGAGAGAAAUUUCUGCUAAUACCGCAUAAGACCACAGUACUGCAUGGUACAGGGGUCAAAGGAGAGAUUCGGUAUAGGAUGGGCUCGCGUCCCAUUAGCUAGUUGGAGGUGUAACGGACCACCAAGGCGACGAUGGGUAGCCGACCUGAGAGGGUGACCGGCCACACUGGGACUGAGACACGGCCCAGACUCC